UGCCGCGUGAGUGAUGAAGGCCUUAGGGUUGUAAAGCUCUUUUACCCGGGAUGAUAAUGACAGUACCGGGAGAAUAAGCUCCGGCUAACUCCGUGCCAGCCGCCGCGGUAACUACGUGCCAGCAGCCACGGUAA
This 134-nucleotide ribosomal RNA is filed under the name uncultured Sphingomonas sp. RNAcentral's name for it is "partial 16S ribosomal RNA". It matches the Rfam family "Bacterial small subunit ribosomal RNA", at positions 395 to 539 of the family's 1533-position model. The record is from RNAcentral. Lineage: Bacteria; Pseudomonadati; Pseudomonadota; Alphaproteobacteria; Sphingomonadales; Sphingomonadaceae.